UAGGGAAUCUUCCACAAUGGGCGCAAGCCUGAUGGAGCAACGCCGCGUGAGUGAAGAAGGUCUUCGGAUCGUAAAACUCUGUUGUUAGAGAAGGGCAUGCGAGAGAGUAACUGUUCUUGUAUUGACGGUAUCUAACCAGAAAGCCACGGCUAACUACGUGCCGG
This 164-nucleotide ribosomal RNA is filed under the name uncultured bacterium. Its description in RNAcentral is "partial 16S rRNA". It matches the Rfam family "Bacterial small subunit ribosomal RNA", at positions 355 to 511 of the family's 1533-position model. The record is from RNAcentral.